UACGGAGGAUGCAAGCGUUAUCCGGAAUGAUUGGGCGUAAAGCGUCCGCAGGUGGCUGUGUAAGUCUGCUGUUAAAUAGUGAGGCUCAACCUCAUAAAGGCAGUGGAAACUACACGGCUAGAGUGCGUUCGGGGCAGAGGGAAUUCCUGGUGUAGCGGUGAAAUGCGUAGAUAUCUGGAGGAACACCGGUGGCGAAGGCGGCAUCCUGGACCGAUACUGACGCUGAGGAGCGAAAGCCAGGGGAGCAAACGGG
This 253-nucleotide ribosomal RNA is filed under the name uncultured bacterium. RNAcentral's name for it is "partial 16S ribosomal RNA". It matches the Rfam family "Bacterial small subunit ribosomal RNA", at positions 524 to 776 of the family's 1533-position model. The record is from RNAcentral.